UACGUAGGUCCCGAGCGUUGUCCGGAUUUAUUGGGCGUAAAGCGAGCGCAGGUGGUUUAAUAAGUCUGAUGUAAAAGGCAGUGGCUCAACCAUUGUGUGCAUUGGAAACUGUUAGACUUGAGUGCAGUAGAGGAGAGUGGAAUUCCAUGUGUAGCGGUGAAAUGCGUAGAUAUCGGGAGGAAGGUCGGUGGCGAAGGCGGCCUCCUGGGCCUGCACUGACGCUGAGGCGCGAAAGCGUGGGGAGCAAACAGG
RNAcentral lists this ribosomal RNA (252 nucleotides) under uncultured microorganism. Its description in RNAcentral is "partial 16S ribosomal RNA". It matches the Rfam family "Bacterial small subunit ribosomal RNA", at positions 524 to 776 of the family's 1533-position model. The record is from RNAcentral.